GCUUUUAGAGUUUUAAAAGUUUGUUCUGCUCGGUGAUUUUAAACAGCCGCGGUAAUUUGACCGUGCAAAGGUAGCAUAAUCAUUUGCCUUAUAAUUGGGGGCUGGAAUGAAGGAAUAAACAAGAGUAAAUCUUUAUUUUUUAGAGAUUAAUAAUUUUCUUUCUUAGUGAAGAAGCUAAGAUAAAAAAGGGGACAAGAAGACCCUUUUGAGCUUUACUAACUUUCUUCUUAUGUAAAGUUAGUUUGGUUGGGGCGACCAAGGAGUAUCUUCCUAUUUUAUUUUGAUCCACAGUUUGUGAUUAAAAGAGUAAGUUACCAAAGGGAUAACAGCGUAAUUUUUUUUAAGAGUUCUUAUUAAAAAAAAAGAUUGCGACCUCGAUGU
Molecule: ribosomal RNA, 381 nt
Filed under: Ototyphlonemertes fila
Lineage: Eukaryota; Metazoa; Nemertea; Enopla; Monostilifera; Ototyphlonemertidae
Description: partial 16S ribosomal RNA
Rfam family: Bacterial large subunit ribosomal RNA
Source: RNAcentral